RNAcentral lists this unclassified non-coding RNA (200 nucleotides) under Sordariomycetes sp. RNAcentral's name for it is "partial internal transcribed spacer 2". Lineage: Eukaryota; Fungi; Ascomycota; Sordariomycetes. The record is from RNAcentral.
UUAAGUUCAGCGGGUAUCCCUACCUGAUCCGAGGUCAACCUGAGAAAAUUAGGGUUGUUGGCAAGCUACCCACCGGUCUCAAUCGCGAGGAGUAUUACUACGCGUAGAGCCGACAGGCACCGCCACUGAUUUUAGGGGCCGCGAGACCGCGAACCCCAAUACCAAGCAAAGGCUUGAGUGGUUAUAAUGACGCUCGAACA